GACGAACGCUGGCGGCGUGCUUAACACAUGCAAGUCGAACGGAAAGGCCUUCUUUCCCUUGUGUAUUGCGGGUACUCGCGUGUCGAACGGAUGAGUAACACGUGCGUUAUCUUCCCCCAACUUUGGUAUAAGCCGGGGAAACUAGCGCUAAUUCCCGAUUGGUCUGCAGGGUGGUUCGGGUGGUGGAAGAGGAUUUUCUAGUGGUUGGGGCUGAGCUGGCGGCCUGUGAGCUUGUUGGUGGGGGAAUGUCGUACCGAGGCGGGGACGGGUAGGCGGCCUGGGAGGGUGGGCGGCCGCAUUGGGACUGAGAUACGGGCCAGACUCUUACGGGAGGCAGCAGUGGGGAAGCAUGAACAAUGGGCGGAACACUGAGGCAGCGAGGCCGCGGGGGGGAUGACGGCCUCCGGGUGGUGACCUUCUUUCGACCGCGAGGAAGCCCCCGGGUUGGAAGGGUGGUGACGGUAGUGGUAGAAGAAGCACCGGCUAACUACGUG
RNAcentral lists this ribosomal RNA (494 nucleotides) under uncultured bacterium. RNAcentral's name for it is "partial 16S ribosomal RNA". It matches the Rfam family "Bacterial small subunit ribosomal RNA", at positions 28 to 507 of the family's 1533-position model. The record is from RNAcentral.